This 503-nucleotide ribosomal RNA is filed under the name Dialister invisus. Its description in RNAcentral is "bacterial SSU rRNA". It matches the Rfam family "Bacterial small subunit ribosomal RNA", at positions 28 to 497 of the family's 1533-position model. Lineage: Bacteria; Bacillati; Bacillota; Negativicutes; Veillonellales; Veillonellaceae. The record is from RNAcentral.
GACGAACGCUGGCGGCGUGCUUAACACAUGCAAGUCGAACGAAAAGACGGAAAGAGCUUGCUCUUUUCAAGAAUUGAGUGGCAAACGGGUGAGUAACACGUAAACAACCUGCCUUCAGGAUGGGGCAACAGACGGAAACGACUGUUAAUACCGAAUAAGUUCCAAGAGCCGCAUGGCCCAUGGAAGAAAAGGUGGCCUCUACCUGCAAGCUAUCGCCUGAAGAGGGGUUUGCGUCUGAUUAGCUGGUUGGAGGGGUAACGGCCCACCAAGGCGACGAUCAGUAGCCGGUCUGAGGGGAUGAACGGCCACACUGGAACUGAGACACGGUCCAGACUCCUACGGGAGGCAGCAGUGGGGAAUCUUCCGCAAUGGGCGAAAGCCUGACGGAGCAACGCCGCGUGAGUGAUGACGGCCUUCGGGUUGUAAAACUCUGUGAUCCGGGACGAAAAGGCAGAGUGCGAAGAACAAACUGCAUUGACGGUACCGGAAAAGCAAGCCCGGGG